UUUAGUACGAGAGGAACGAGGGCUCGGGGCCACUAGUUUACCAGUUGUCUGACAAGGCAAUGCUGGGUAGCCACGCCCUGAUGGAUAAGAGCUGAAAGCAUCUAAGCUCGAAGCCGCCCCAGAGACGAGACACCUCAGAACGCUCGUAAAAGACGAGUUUGAUAGACUGCGGAUGUAAGCACGAAGCUUCGGCGACGUGUUCAGUCCAGCAGCACUAAUUGUUCGAGCAUCUU
Molecule: ribosomal RNA, 233 nt
Filed under: Methanobacteriota archaeon
Lineage: Archaea; Methanobacteriati; Methanobacteriota
Description: Euryarchaeota archaeon partial 23S ribosomal RNA
Rfam family: Archaeal large subunit ribosomal RNA
Source: RNAcentral